GCAAACUUGGUCAUUUAGAGGAAGUAAAAGUCGUAACAAGGUUUCCGUAGGUGAACCUGCGGAAGGAUCAUUAUCGAGUUUUGAACGGGUUGUAGCUGGCCUCAUACGGGGCAUGUGCACGCCUGGCUCAUCCACUCUUCAACCUCUGUGCACUUAUUGUAGAUCGGUGAUAAGGUCGAGUUCUUUCACGAGUUCUUGACUGGAAAAACCUUUCUACGUUUUUACCACAAACGCUUCAGUUAUAGAAUGUUUAUCUGCGUAUAACGCAUCUUUAUACAACUUUCAGCAACGGAUCUCUUGGCUCUCGCAUCGAUGAAGAACGCAGC
Molecule: unclassified non-coding RNA, 326 nt
Filed under: uncultured fungus
Lineage: Eukaryota; Fungi
Description: partial contains small subunit ribosomal RNA, internal transcribed spacer 1, and 5.8S ribosomal RNA
Rfam family: Eukaryotic small subunit ribosomal RNA (bases 1-73)
Source: RNAcentral